GGAAUGCGCACCAGGAGCUGGUGCAGGGAAUGUCGAUAUGUUCUCCAGAUGUUUUUGACAGGCAUUGAAACACUCUUGAGAGUGCAGAUGACAUCUUAUAUUCUGUUCCACUACAAGAAGCUUUCCAAUUGAAACAUCCCACAGAAGGAGUGAUAUGGCAUCAUGUCAUUCCAAGAAUAUGUUUUCCAUAGUCAGCAUGUGUUUGAAGUUCCACUUGUGUAGCAGAUGCCCUCUCAGGCAGAGAACUGGAGCCCCGGUGGUGCAAUGAGUUAAACCCUUGUGCCGGCUGGAUUGCUGAUCUGAAGGUCAGAAGUUUGAAUCCAGGGAGCAGGAUGAGCUCCCGUCUGUCAGUUCCAGCUUCCCAUGCAGUGACAUGAGAGAAGCCUCCCACAGGAUGGUCAAACAUCUGGGCAUUCCCUGGGCAACGUCCUUGCAGACAAUAUAUUAUCUCACACCAGAAGUGACUUGCAGUUUUUCAAGAUUCUCCUGACAUAAAAAAAAUCUCUAAUAUGUAAUAAGAGUGCCAUGUGUUCAGUUGUUUUAAAAUAAAUGUCUUAAAACAAAUGUUUUAAAAUAAAAUAUCGUUUAAUAGAAUUAUCUCAUGC
This is a non-coding RNA of Anolis sagrei ordinatus, 605 nucleotides long. NCBI's taxonomy places the organism in Eukaryota, Metazoa, Chordata, Lepidosauria, Squamata, Anolidae. The record is from RefSeq and is a predicted model, not a curated record.